This is a non-coding RNA of Paramuricea clavata, 417 nucleotides long. Lineage: Eukaryota; Metazoa; Cnidaria; Anthozoa; Malacalcyonacea; Plexauridae. The record is from the annotation of a GenBank genome assembly.
UGCAGAACACGAAGAUAUGAAUAUUCGCCCCCCCCCCCCAAUUAUCGACCUGGCGGCGCCACUGUUGUAAAUCAGUGGCAAGUUUCUUCCUCGCGCUCUAUUUUCCCGCGUUAUUUUUGCAGCAUGUGGCAAGUCUAUAUAUUGUUCUCGCUUUCUCGGCCAAUUGUGUUUUUUACUGGGCAACAGACCGCUUUUGCUACUGUAAAGACGACAGACAUCCCAAAACGAGCGCACGUCGAGCGCGUAUCUUUUCCACAUAUAUCGAAAUAUAGCCGUUCUAUUCGAUACAAGCAACUGAUGCAUUUAUUACGAUAAAGUAUUUGCGUAAUAUACCAAUCAAUCGCGUUUCAGGAACGAUCAUGCAGCCAAUCGCUAUCCACAAACUUGCCCGAACCAGGGCUUUCCUCCCCCCCCCCC